Molecule: microRNA, 20 nt
Filed under: Phaeodactylum tricornutum
Lineage: Eukaryota; Bacillariophyta; Bacillariophyceae; Surirellales; Neidiaceae
Description: pti-miR5473
Source: miRBase by way of RNAcentral
UGAGGUAACGGGAUCAAAGG